This is a long non-coding RNA of Microplitis mediator, 3280 nucleotides long. RefSeq lists it as uncharacterized. NCBI's taxonomy places the organism in Eukaryota, Metazoa, Arthropoda, Insecta, Hymenoptera, Braconidae. The transcript is spliced from 2 exons. The record is from RefSeq and is a predicted model, not a curated record.
UAAACAUGAGCAGCAUAAUAAAAAUAAAAGAAUAAAAAUUUUGUAAAUAAACGAUUCGUUACAGUUAGAUAAUUGUUUUCAUUCGUGAUAAACAUCUGGAAAGCAAGUGUUGUUUCGCGUUUUUUAUUUCUUAUAUAAAAAAAAAUAAUAAUUUAAAAAACGAAGAAGAGAAAGGGUAGAACUGAAGAAGAAGAAGAAGAAAAAGAAGAAGCAAUUAGACUCGGUGGGAGUGUCUGAUGCAUAUCAUCAUCUUCCCUUACUCUCCGAGGUUAAAACCUGUGGAGGGGCAUAAGUUCCUACUUCUUCAGCUUCUAGAUCCUACUACAUCAGCCUUAACGUCUAAGCGUCGCAGUUAUCCACUGGAAGUCAUCAGAACUGCUGUCUUUUUCGUUCAUUCAUUUUAUUUAUUCUUUUUCUUUUCAACUUUUAAAUUGUUUGAUAAAAAUUUUUUUUCUUCACUGAUGCGUCUCAUAUAAAAAGUGUAAAAAAUUUUUAAACACUUGACAGUGGAUUAAGUGAGUGAAAGACAAUAGUAUAAAGUGACGUGUGUUUGACAGUUGAACAAGUGGAAUUCGUAAAAAAAAAAUUCAAGUAUUUCUUGGCCGUCUUCAAUCAGAUCUGGACAAAAAUUUUUAAACUCACAGUCUGACUGAAGUACGGCCAGUUUUGAACUGGAUACUUGUUUAAUUAAUCUUAAAAAAAUUAUUGUGAAGGUGGCCCAAGUUGUUUGUUUAUUUUUUUAAAAAUGAAAAAAUCGCUGUCGUGAUUUUUCAACAACACUAAACUUUACAAUUAAUAAUUAUUUAUAUAAUUUAUAUAUUAAAAAUAAUUUUAAUAUUUAUUAUAAAAUUAGCUCUAAGUACUCUAAUUAAAAUUAAUGUAUAAAACCUUAGGUUUAAUAAUAUUUACUAAAAUUAAAUAAUAUAAUUUGAAUAAUUUAUUAAUUAUUAAAAUAAUAAUGUACAUUUGUUGUUAAAUAAAUAAAUUUUAAUACUUUUCAUAAAUCAAUUCCUGAAGAAUUAACAAUCAUCAUUUGUUGUUAAAAUUAAUUAAUAUCAUGAACUAACUAAAAUAAAUUUAAAAGUAAUCCCUCAUAAAUUAUUGUAAUCUCUCCACGUUUCAGGCUUUUAAUCUUUAGCUCAUGCGAUAAAGCUCUCACGUCUGUAGUCUUGAGAGUCUUGAGGAAGAAUUGACCGCAGCCGAGAAUAUCAUCAUCUAUUCCCUCCAGAGACACAGAUAAAGAGAAAGAUAGAGUGAGAGAGUACGCUGACAUGUGUGUCUACUUAUUUCUGGACUACUGAAUCACCGAAACCCAGCCGGGGCUUUUCCGAAAUAGGUUCGCGAGCUUCUCUCCUUUACUCUUUUCAUCCACCUCCGCCCCCUCUCACACCUUCUUCACCUUCUCUCCACAAGCUUUUCAUCAGUGUCUUCAAUCACGUCCAAUUAUACAACGUCUGCACUUUAAUACGCCAGUGUAAUCGACUCAUCGGACACAAUUUAAACAUACCAUUCCUACGUCACGAUCUCAAUCGUCUUCAGGUGGUCGCUACCAAGGUCAUCGAUGUCUUUCGAAAAACAACUCCCAGGGGUAGCAUAAUUAUUUUGUAAGAGUUAUUAAUAAGAAUUUAAAAUAAAUACAAGAGAGAAAGAGUGGGAAGAAAUACAAGUUAUUUAUCAACCUUGACAGAGUAUAAACAUUAAUUCUUUUUUUCUUUAGAUACAACAAAUUUUUAUUCAAGAUUUUACAGCGCGAUUUAUAACGGCGGGUCAGGUACAAUACGAAAGAAAUAAACACGCACUGGUAUUAGGGGAGUCAGAGAGCGUGAAGACAUGUGCCCAUUGUGCGUAAAUAUUCUGCUGCUUUAACUGCUGCAUCCAGCCAAGACGUAAACUUUUCUCGUAUUCAUUAUGAGUUAUUAUUGUUCUCCUUUUAUUUUUUUUCCAAUUAAAAAAAAGUAUAAAGAAGUAAAUAAUUACAACAGGAGGUUUUUAUGAAACAUCUGAGGGCUCUUGAGGUGCUUGCCGUCUUGAGCGCAGCCAAAUAUAGAUGGGUAAUGUAAUACACGUCACGCGGGCAGAAAUAGCAUAAGAUGAGAAGCUAAGCCUAGCUACAAGUGCACACGGCACGUACACUACAAGCCGGGUACUUCAGUUUACGGUAUACGAUAUAAUACGUCUGAAUUACGAGAUACUUCGUGGAAUUUUUUUUUUUACUACAGUAUUUACAAAAGAAGAUGAUAAAAGAAGAAAUAUUAAGUUCAGAAUAUAAAGUUGUCUUUGGAGUUUAGAGAAGAUUAAAUUUAAUAAUGACUGGAGGUUUUUUUUAUUUUUUUUUAUUUUUGUAAAGUCUUCACCUUAACUCUUUCUCUCUUAUUUAUAUUCAUUUAAUUUUUGUUGUUGUUGUUGUUGUUGUUGUUGUGGAACAUAAUAUCUUGGAGUGACGCCAACAUGUUGACAAUGUAACGAUGCAGUAGUAAAUGAGUGUUGCGGUUUAAAAAUUUGUUGAGAUACGAGUUAUGAACAAACUUUAAUUUAUAAAUAUAUAAUCUAUAUAUUUAUAUCUAUGUCUAUGUCUAUGUCUAUAUCUAUAUCUAUGUAUGUAUAUAUAAAUUUGUUUAUGUUUUAUUAUUGCACAAAGCAUAUUUUUAUUUGGAUAAUUCCAUUGUGUACAGAAAUAAAUAUUUGUAUGUAUUAAUUAGUUUAUUAAUUAUUAAAACUCAUUAUUACUAAAUAUAUAAACCCGAUUUUUUAUAUUUUAUUCAUAUGAAUCUUAAUAUUAGAUUCAUAUUGAUUUUUUUUUUAUAAUAAAUAAUUAUUAAUUAAAAUAUCAUUCAGAUGUAUACGACUAAAAAUAUAUAUGUUGUUAAAUGACUUAAAACUUUUGUUUUUCUUAUUGUAAUUAAUGUGUUUUCUUCUCAAGCUUCACAUAUAUUUAACUUUUUAUAGUUAUCCAACAUUUCGUAAUAUUUUUUUUCUCAACAAGUUAAAAGACAAGAAAUAAAAUUUAAUUUGAUCUUGAGUAUUUACGUCUCGCUAUUUUUAUUUCUUCAAAUUUCAACUAGUUGACAAAAAAGUUAACAGUCAUAUUUUUUUUAAAUAUAUCAGAGCACCAUUUUCAUUUUCAUUUUAUUAAACUUGGACCACCCUCUUGUUUUCUUUUCCUUCUAGUUUUUUUUUUUUUUUAUUUUAUAAUGAGUUAGUUGUUAAUAAAUAAUUUAGAAAAAAAAAUAUCAACUGCCCGACGCGUCUUUAAUUUAUCGUCAAACGACUAGUAUAAUUU